GACGAGCCCACACGAACGUUAUUCGGAAUUACUGGGCUUAAAGGGUGCGUAGGCGGCGCGGAAAGUUGGGUGUGAAAUCCCUCGGCUUAACCGAGGAACUGCGCCCAAAACUGCCGUGCUCGAGGAAGAUAGAGGUGAGCGGAACUUACGGUGGAGCGGUGAAAUGCGUUGAUAUCGUAAGGAACACCCGUGGCGAAAGCGGCUCACUGGGUCUUUCUGACGCUGAUGCACGAAAGCUAGGGGAGCAAACGGGAUUAGAUA
This 261-nucleotide ribosomal RNA is filed under the name uncultured archaeon. Its description in RNAcentral is "partial 16S ribosomal RNA". It matches the Rfam family "Bacterial small subunit ribosomal RNA", at positions 524 to 784 of the family's 1533-position model. The record is from RNAcentral.